This 78-nucleotide transfer RNA is filed under the name Deltaproteobacteria bacterium. RNAcentral describes it as "tRNA-Glu". It matches the Rfam family "tRNA". From Rfam's summary of the family: Transfer RNA (tRNA) molecules are approximately 80 nucleotides in length. Their secondary structure includes four short double-helical elements and three loops (D, anti-codon, and T loops). RNAcentral also lists the same sequence under 1 other name. The record is from RNAcentral. Lineage: Bacteria; Pseudomonadati; Myxococcota; Myxococcia.
GACCCCAUCGUCUAGCUUGGCCCAGGACACCGGCCUUUCACGCCGAGAACGCGGGUUCGAAUCCCGCUGGGGUCGCCA